RNAcentral lists this ribosomal RNA (301 nucleotides) under uncultured bacterium. Its description in RNAcentral is "partial 16S ribosomal RNA". It matches the Rfam family "Bacterial small subunit ribosomal RNA", at positions 509 to 807 of the family's 1533-position model. The record is from RNAcentral.
CAGUAGCCACGGUAAUACGAAGGGGGCUAGCGUUGCUCGGAAUUACUGGGCGUAAAGGGCGCGUAGGCGGACAGUUCAGUCGGGGGUGAAAGCCCGGGGCUCAACCUCGGAAUUGCCUUCGAUACUGGCUGUCUUGAGUAUGAGAGAGGUGUGUGGAACUCCGAGUGUAGAGGUGAAAUUCGUAGAUAUUCGGAAGAACACCAGUGGCGAAGGCGACACACUGGCUCAUUACUGACGCUGAGGCGCGAAAGCGUGGGGAGCAAACAGGAUUAGAUACCCGCGUAGUCCCUGUCUCUUAUAC